GAUGAACGCUGGCGGCGUGCCUAAUACAUGCAAGUCGAGCGAACAGACGAGGAGCUUGCUCCUCUGACGUUAGCGGCGGACGGGUGAGUAACACGUGGAUAAUCUACUUAUAUGACUGGGAUAACUUCGGGAAACCGGAGCUAAUACCGGAUAAUAUAUUGAACCGCAUGGUUCAAUAGUGAAAGACGGCUUUGCUGUCUCUUAUAGAUGGAUCCGCGCCGCAUUAGCUAGUUGGUAAGGUAACGGCUUAGCAAGGCAACGAUGCGUAGCCGACGUGAGAGGGUGGUCGGCGGCACUGGAACUGAGACACGGUCCAGACUCCUGAGGGACGCAGCAGUAGGGAAUCUUCCGCAAUGGUCGAGAGCUUGACGGAGCAACGCCGCGUGAGUGAUAAAGGUCUUCGGAUCGUAAAACUCUGUUAUUAGGGGAAAACAAAUGUGUAAGUAACUGUGCACGUCUUGACGGUACCUAAUCAGGAAGCCACGGCUAACUACGUG
This 497-nucleotide ribosomal RNA is filed under the name uncultured bacterium. RNAcentral's name for it is "partial 16S ribosomal RNA". It matches the Rfam family "Bacterial small subunit ribosomal RNA", at positions 28 to 507 of the family's 1533-position model. The record is from RNAcentral.